GUUAUUCUGAGGUGCUUUUCAAUUGAGUUUAUCAACGUGUCUUCAGCCGACCCCCAUCGCCAACACCUCUUCAAGUCUUUGCAGAAUUCAAUUGCUUAUCUGGGGAAAAUCUGAGAUUUGAGUUCUAUGCAGCGUUGGACACGCAUUCUGCACGUUUGAUUGAAAUUUUUCAGAGAAAAGGAGGAAAUCAGGGAAGAACACUUGAUGAAAUUUUGCAUCAUGUUGACUCAAGUACUUCAGGGCCUUCCAAUCCUCCUGGGGGAUGACCCAGAGCAAUUUUUCAGGAUGAGCUUCGAUUCAGAUGUAGAUGCAGACUUCAGUGAAGUAGAUGUUGGACUGCUCACAGUUUUACCUGAAGGCAUGCCUGCCUCAACAUGGAUGCCAUGAUGUCCCAAAUUUGCCACAUGCUGUAUGUCUCCUCUUUGCUCUGAUCUAUGCUCUAAAUUUAGACCAUCCAAAGACAAUGAGGAAGACAUUUGAUUUUAUUCAACGGGUAUUUCUUUCUUUGAGAGGAAAGUAAAGGCUUUUUUGGAGUUUGCACAGUGCCUGUUCUGCAAAUGCUCUGUACCUUGUUUUAGGUCCAGAUAUUAUGUUGUCAUGCAGCAGAGUGCUGCAAGAGGUCUAAGUUUUGAGAACAGAUUGUUUU
Xyrauchen texanus (razorback sucker) is the source of this 646-nucleotide long non-coding RNA. RefSeq lists it as uncharacterized. The record is from RefSeq and is a predicted model, not a curated record. Lineage: Eukaryota; Metazoa; Chordata; Actinopteri; Cypriniformes; Catostomidae. The transcript has 4 exons.